GUGACUAGUGACAGAGUGAGGAAGGGGGUGACUAGUGAUAGAGGGAGGGGUGACUAGCGACAGAGUGAGGGAGGUGGUGACUAGUGACUAUCACCACCUCCCUCACUCUGUCACUAGUCACCAACUCCCUCACUCUGUCACCAGUCAUCCCCUCACUCUGUCACCCCUUCCUUCCCUCACUCUACCACUAGUCACCCCUCCCUCUAUCACUAGUCACCCCCUUCCUCACUCUGUCACCUGUCAC
Molecule: non-coding RNA, 244 nt
Organism: Pelobates cultripes (western spadefoot toad)
Lineage: Eukaryota; Metazoa; Chordata; Amphibia; Anura; Pelobatidae
Source: the annotation of a GenBank genome assembly